Non-coding RNA from Paramuricea clavata, 79 nucleotides. The record is from the annotation of a GenBank genome assembly. NCBI's taxonomy places the organism in Eukaryota, Metazoa, Cnidaria, Anthozoa, Malacalcyonacea, Plexauridae.
GUUCCUGCUUGUUAACAAUAGUGUUAAGCAUUGUUAAGGCUCAACAAUGCUGAACAACAUUGUUAACAAGCAGGAACAA